AUUCAAGCGCAAACAAAAAACUCUAAAGGUGAAAGCAGCUGCACCAAACACUCGACCCUCGUUGAGGAUCUAAUCUUCAACCCCUCAUGUCUCCUCUUCACCAUGUCCUCCCUCCUUCAUUGAUGAUGUUACCAAAUCCUUCGCGACAUCGUUGGCUCUUACUAGUCUGGAUGUCAUUGAUCUCUCAAAGUUUUAAAAAAGCUCUCAACAAAAGAAAACACUGCAAUAAUCCUUUCUCUUUGCAAAGCCGUUGUGCACCUCCUCUAUGAUUGUUGCCGACCUACGGCGUUUCUUCAAAAGGUCUUGAACCCUAGAGAAGAAUUUUCAGGUGCAUCAGCGAUCACCGGAACUGUUUACCAUUGAUUUGAUCGCAACAAUGUGCUCCCAGGAGGACCAUGGUGGUAUGACAAGGCACCAAUUUUUCUUCAGAUAUAUGAUGGUAUCACUCCGAUCGAGCAGCUCCCACUCUUCAGUAAUCGUCUCCAGUUCAGGAGAAGCCGACGUCUUGUUGGGACGUAUCAGAAGGGCAGGCGCUACUUCAAUCCAAGAAACCAAGAAUCUCAUCCUCUCUGCCAUUGCAAUCGAACAAUCAAAUCCCUUGUUAACUGCUCUCCCCGGCUUCAAAAGUAAUGAAACGAGCAACUCUGUAUUCUUCGCUCUCAGCUAAUGAAGGAACUCAAAGGAAGCAACGAUGAGGAAAGAAGCACUAGCUUCUUGAGUCUAAAGAGAAGGGAUGUCUGAAAUGGUGGCCUGGGAAUCGGAAGCAAAUUGAUUUGGUGAUUUCUCUUGUUGGUGAAGAUUGUUAUUUAUAAAGGCUUAGUAACUAUGCUGUCGGU
RNA transcript from Fragaria vesca subsp. vesca, 836 nucleotides. RefSeq lists it as uncharacterized. The record is from RefSeq and is a predicted model, not a curated record. The transcript has 2 exons. Lineage: Eukaryota; Viridiplantae; Streptophyta; Magnoliopsida; Rosales; Rosaceae.